UAAGUACACGCGGCCGGUACAGUGAAACUGCGAAUGGCUCAUUAAAUCAGUUAUGGUUCCUUUGAUCGCUCAUCCGUUACUUGGAUAACUGUGGCAAUUCUAGAGCUAAUACAUGCAAACGAGCGCUGACCCUCCGGGUAUGCGUGCAUUUAUCAGACCCAAAACCCAUGCGGGGCGUCCUCUCGGGGGCGCCCCGGCCGCUUUGGUGACUCUAGAUAACCUCGAGCCGAUCGCUGGCCCUCCGUGGCGGCGACGUCUCAUUCGAAUGUCUGCCCUAUCAACUUUCGAUGGUACUUUAUGUGCCUACCAUGGUGACCACGGGUAACGGGGAAUCAGGGUUCGAUUCCGGAGAGGGAGCCUGAGAAACGGCUACCACAUCCAAGGAAGGCAGCAGGCGCGCAAAUUACCCACUCCCGACUCGGG
This 423-nucleotide ribosomal RNA is filed under the name Oreochromis aureus. Its description in RNAcentral is "SSU rRNA". It matches the Rfam family "Eukaryotic small subunit ribosomal RNA", at positions 60 to 460 of the family's 1831-position model. The record is from RNAcentral. Lineage: Eukaryota; Metazoa; Chordata; Actinopteri; Cichliformes; Cichlidae.